RNAcentral lists this long non-coding RNA (428 nucleotides) under Lathyrus oleraceus (garden pea). RNAcentral's name for it is "Pisum sativum (pea) long non-coding RNA (PSAT_LNC008051)". The record is from RNAcentral. Lineage: Eukaryota; Viridiplantae; Streptophyta; Magnoliopsida; Fabales; Fabaceae.
ACCGUAAAAAGAUUGAUUUUAAUUUUAAGUUUAAAUAGACCGACUCAGUCUUGAUCCCUUAUUCUGCUUACUUUACAUACCGAUAUCUAGGCGAAUUAGCCAGACAUGCUAAAUAAACAAGAAUACAUAUCAUGCAUAAACAGACUCAUUCCAGGCAGACAAUAUAAAUAAAUAAUAAAACAAAACAUUAAAUAAUGAUUAAAGAACCUGAAUGCGUAAUACAAUAGUCUUGAACACUCCACCACAAGCCGGUAGGAUUUGUUCUUGGAUUCUUCAAUUAAUCAAUAAAUUAAACCAAGGAAAUAAAACUAGAAUCUAACGUAAGGUUAGAUCCGAUAAAAAGUUGCACAAUAGUUUCCGGUGUAAAACUAUUAUGCGAAAAAUAUCUAAAUGCUAAAAAGGAAAGGUAAAUUGCAAAGGAAAAAAAG